Molecule: ribosomal RNA, 1233 nt
Filed under: uncultured Campylobacterota bacterium
Lineage: Bacteria; Pseudomonadati; Campylobacterota
Description: bacterial SSU rRNA
Rfam family: Bacterial small subunit ribosomal RNA
Source: RNAcentral
CCCCAUACUCCUUUUCAUUAUAAGAUGAGUCGGGAAAGUUUUUCGCUAAAGGAUUGGGCUAUAUGGUAUCAGCUUGUUGGUGAGGUAACGGCUCACCAAGGCUAUGACGCCUAACUGGUCUGAGAGGAUGAUCAGUCACACUGGAACUGAGACACGGUCCAGACUCCUACGGGAGGCAGCAGUGGGGAAUAUUACACAAUGGAGGAAACUCUGAUGUAGCAACGCCGCGUGGAGGAUGACACAUUUCGGUGCGUAAACUCCUUUUAUAUGGGAAGAUAAUGACGGUACCAUAUGAAUAAGCACCGGCUAACUCCGUGCCAGCAGCCGCGGUAAUACGGAGGGUGCAAGCGUUACUCGGAAUCACUGGGCGUAAAGCGCAUGUAGGCGGUCUUGUAAGUUGGGUGUGAAAGCCUAUGGCUCAACCAUAGAACUGCACCCAAAACUACUAGACUAGAGUCUGGGAGAGGAAAAUGGAAUUAGUUGUGUAGGGGUAAAAUCCGUAGAGAUAACUAGGAAUACCAAAAGCGAAGGCAAUUUUCUGGAACAGUACUGACGCUCAGAUGCGAAAGCGUGGGUAGCAAACAGGAUUAGAUACCCUGGUAGUCCACGCCCUAAACGAUGAAUGUUAGUCGUCGGGAGGCUCGUCCUUUCGGUGAUGCAGCUAACGCAUUAAACAUUCCGCCUGGGGAGUACGGUCGCAAGAUUAAAACUCAAAGGAAUAGACGGGGACCCGCACAAGUGGUGGAGCAUGUGGUUUAAUUCGAAGAUACGCGAAGAACCUUACCUAGCCUUGACAUUGAUAGAAUCCGAUGGAAACAUUGGAGUACCAGUUUACUGGAGCUUGAAAACAGGUGCUGCACGGCUGUCGUCAGCUCGUGUCGUGAGAUGUUGGGUUAAGUCCCGCAACGAGCGCAACCCUCGUCCUUAGUUACUAACGGUUUGGCCGAGGACUCUAAGGAGACUGCCUUCGUAAGGAGGAGGAAGGUGAGGACGACGUCAAGUCAUCAUGGCCCUUACGGCUAGGGCGACACACGUGCUACAAUGGAUAGGACAAUGAGACGCAAUACCACGAGGUGGAGCAAAUCUAUAAACCUAUUCUCAGUUCGGAUUGUAGUCUGCAACUCGACUACAUGAAGCUGGAAUCACUAGUAAUCGUAGAUCAGCCAUGCUACGGUGAAUACGUUCCCGGGUCUUGUACUCACCGCCCGUCACACCAUGGGAGUUGAUUUCACC